Long non-coding RNA from Gallus gallus (chicken), 1079 nucleotides. NCBI's taxonomy places the organism in Eukaryota, Metazoa, Chordata, Aves, Galliformes, Phasianidae. The record is from Ensembl.
CUCCCAUGCGGCUAAAAGCUGUGGGUGGCAGCACGGUGGUAAAAAGAUAACAAUAUUUAACAGCUUUCUUCAAUUAGCAUCAUCCCUGUGCUUUUGACUGUUAAACUCCUUGUUUUGCUUCACCUUCCAGGCCCGGAUAACCCUGUGGUUAACACCUUAUGAGCUAAAUGACAGAUGCCAGCACAAAGCAUUACUCCACUGAAAAUAUUUGUCGAAAAGUGAGCCGGCAGCUUUAGGGAGCUUUGGUGAAUGUGCAAAACGUUUUGCUAUUGUCCAGGCUCGAUAAUGGGAGAGGACAUUGAGGAGUUCUGCAGGAGACAGCAGUGUGAGAAGAGGUAGAUCCCCAUGGAGCACAAACAGAGGGCCUCAAAUUGCCACCACAGCAGCAGAGGUGCAGCAGGUGGGGAAGAUGAAGGUCACAAACAUAGCUUGGAAUGAACACAACUGAGCUACAGCUAGGCACAUUACACCGUGCAACAAUCAGUCCCUGUGUGUGUGUUGAAGGUUAAGAACUCUUACAGAGCUGUGCGGCCACGCUGCAGGGUCCUGUGGGCAGACAAAGUCCCCGGUGUCCAUGGAUGUGAUUGGUACAAGCAAGUUCUGUGGUCAGAGAUGGUUUCUAAGACAUGAUGUGAACACACUAACUUAGAUUUUGGGGUAACAUUAUGUCCUUUGAGAGUGAUUACACGAAUAAGACUCUCGUGUUGGUAUCUGCAGCAAUGACUCAAGCGCAGUUGCUGUUUGACUUGUUCUCUCCUUCAAUGUAUUCUUUGUUUUGCUAAGCUCUGGCUUCCAUUGUGCCCUCCCAUUUUUGCUUGUCGAGCAUCAUCACUCAGAAGCAAGCACAGCAGUGACCAGGUUGAAGGGACUCCAUUUCACCCACCAAGACUGUGUCAGGGGCUGCAUCCUUUGGAGGCUGAUGGUGCCGUGCCAGUGCUGGCGCCACUCUGCAGCUUUCUGCUGUGAGCUGCCCCACCUGCAGUGCACGGGGGUCACACUGCUGUCACUGCACACAGUGCCCUUUCCCUUGGUGUUGGCUUCUCCCUGCACACAGCCCUUUGAUAGCCAGCAAUUCCCAC